ACUCAAAUGAAUUGACGGGGGCCCGCACAAGCGGCGGAGCAUGUUGCUUAAUUCGAUGCAACGCGAAGAACCUUACCAAGGCUUGACAUGCAGGGAAAAGCCGUAGAGAUACGGUGUCCUUCGGGGUCCUGCACAGGUGGUGCAUGGCUGUCGUCAGCUCGUGUCGUGAGAUGUUGGGUUAAGUCCCGCAACGAGCGCAACCCUUGUCCCAUGUUGCCAGCGAGUUAUGUCGGGGACUCGUGGGAGACUGCCGGGGUCAACUCGGAGGAAGGUGGGGAUGACGUCAAGUCAUCAUGCCCCUUACGUCUUGGGCUGCAAACAUGCUACAAUGGCUGGUACAAAGGGCUGCGACCCCGCGAGGGUGAGCUAAUCCCAGAAAGCCAGUCUCAGUUCGGAUCGUAGUCUGCAACUCGACUGCGUGAAGUCGGAGUCGCUAGUAAUCGCAGAUCAGCAUUGCUGCGGUGAAUACGUUCCCGGGCCUUGUACACACCGCCCGU
RNAcentral lists this ribosomal RNA (497 nucleotides) under uncultured bacterium. Its description in RNAcentral is "partial 16S ribosomal RNA". It matches the Rfam family "Bacterial small subunit ribosomal RNA", at positions 899 to 1397 of the family's 1533-position model. The record is from RNAcentral.